AUGGCAGUGGCGAGUACCUCUUCGGCUCUCCGGCUCCAGCCUCUCCUCCUCAUACUCCUACUCGCUGCCACCAGCGAGGCCACCACAUUCAAAAUCAUCAACCAAUGCUCCUACACCGUGUGGCCAGCCGCUCUGCCGGGAGGUGGCGUGAAGCUCGAUCCGGGGGAGGCGUGGGCGCUGAACAUGCCCGCUGGUACCUCAACAGGGCGCAUCUGGCCGCGCACAGGCUGCUCACUCCUUGACGAAGGCGGGUCAUGCCAAACUGGCGACUGCAGCGGCUUGCUCACCUGUACGGCCAGUGGUCGAUCGCCAAGCACGCUGGGCGAGUUCAGUCUUGGCCAAGGCCAAAUUGAUGAUUUCUUCGACAUCUCGCUCAUUGAUGGCUUCAACGUGCCCAUGGACUUCCUGCCGGUGCCGGUUCAGGGAAGGUCAGGGUGCAGCAAGGGGCCGCGCUGUGCAGCCAACAUCACAUCGCAGUGCCCAAGAGAGCUAAAGGCUCCGGGAGGGUGUAGCAAUGCAUGUACUGGGAGCACGGCAAGCCGUUGCAACACAAGUUACUCGGCCUUCUUUAAGCAGAUGUGCCCAGAUGCCUACAGCAAGCCUGAUGAUACAUCCACUUACUCUUGCCCGUCGGGCACAAAGUACCAGGUCAUCUUCUGUCCCCUGAUUAAUCAAACACUCUCACCUACAGCUGAAAGUCCCCUGCCUGCACCCCCAGCCGAGGCAACACCUCCGACCCCAAGUACUCUACCUACAACUAUUGGGCCAACAAGCAUGAAACCGAAAUCCCCCUCUGGAAGAAGAGUUGUUGCAAUUCUAGCUCCUGUAGGCGGCUUCAUUUUGCUCACCAUCUUGUUCCUCGUCGCCUUCUUUAUAUGUAAACGAAGAACACAACAACAUGAGAUGGAAGAAGAGGAAGAGUUUGGGGAGCUACAAGGAACACCAAUGAGGUUCACAUUUCAACAGCUAAGAGCAGCAACCGAGCAAUUUGCAGACAAGCUCGGGGAAGGAGGAUUUGGGUCUGUUUUCAAGGGACAGUUUGGUGGUGAAAGGAUUGCAGUAAAACGUUUGGAUCGAACUGGUCAGGGCAAAAGAGAAUUUUCGGCAGAGGUUCAAACAAUUGGCAGCAUUCAUCAUAUUAAUCUGGUGAGAUUGAUUGGUUUCUGUGCAGAGAAAUCCCACAGGCUCUUGGUAUAUGAGUACAUGCCCAAAGGAUCCUUGGACAGAUGGAUCUAUUGUCGACAUGACAAUGAUGCUUCUCCUCUAGAUUGGAGCACGCGGUGCAAGAUUAUCACUCAUAUAGCUAAGGGCCUCUCGUAUCUUCAUGAGGAGUGCACAAAACGAAUUGCUCAUUUGGAUGUCAAACCACAAAACAUCCUCUUAGAUGACGACUUCAAUGCUAAACUUUCUGAUUUUGGACUAUGCAAGCUCAUUGACAGGGAUAUGAGCCAAGUGGUUACCAGAAUGCGAGGCACACCUGGGUAUUUAGCUCCUGAAUGGUUGACAUCACAGAUCACGGAAAAGGCAGAUGUCUAUAGCUUUGGCGUUGUGGUCAUGGAAAUCAUGAGUGGAAGAAAGAACCUUGACACUUCACGGUCAGAGGAGAGCAUUCAUCUCAUUACCCUAUUGGAGGAAAAGGUGAAGAGUGAUCGGUUGGUAGAUUUGAUUGACAAUAAAAGCGCCGACAUGCAAGCACACAAGCAAGAUGUAAUUCAGAUGAUGAUGCUUGCAAUGUGGUGCUUGCAGAUUGAUUGCAAAAGAAGGCCUAAAAUGUCCGAGGUAGUAAAAGUAUUGGAAGGUGCGAUGAAUAUAGACAUCAACAUAGAUCAUAACUUUGUUGUGAAUCCAGCAAAUUUUGGUAGUGCUGGAAAUGUGAGCUCUUCAGCUCCACCUCUAGCUUCAGAUGUAUCAGGCCCCAGGUGA
RNAcentral lists this ribosomal RNA (1923 nucleotides) under Triticum aestivum (bread wheat). RNAcentral's name for it is "partial small subunit ribosomal RNA". Lineage: Eukaryota; Viridiplantae; Streptophyta; Magnoliopsida; Poales; Poaceae. The record is from RNAcentral.